RNAcentral lists this ribosomal RNA (522 nucleotides) under Gemmatimonadota bacterium. RNAcentral's name for it is "Gemmatimonadetes bacterium partial 23S ribosomal RNA". It matches the Rfam family "Bacterial large subunit ribosomal RNA", at positions 2412 to 2925 of the family's 2925-position model. The record is from RNAcentral. Lineage: Bacteria; Pseudomonadati; Gemmatimonadota.
UUAGUGAUCCGGCGGUUCCGAAUGGAAGGGCCGUCGCUCAACGGAUAAAAGGUACGCCGGGGAUAACAGGCUUAUCGCCCCCGAGAGUUCACAUCGACGGGGCGGUUUGGCACCUCGAUGUCGGCUUAUCGCAUCCUGGGGCUGAAGAAGGUCCCAAGGGUCGGGCUGUUCGCCCGUUAAAGCGGUACAUGAGCUGGGUUUAGAACGUCGUGAGACAGUUCGGUCUGUAUCCGUCGUGGGCGUUGGAGUAUUGAGGGGAGCUGCUCCUAGUACGAGAGGACCGGAGUGGACUGACCACUCGUGUACCGGCUGUUCCGCCAGGGGCAUCGCCGGGUAGCGACGUCGGGAAGGGAUAACCGCUGAAAGCAUCUAAGUGGGAAGCCCCCCCCAAGAUGAGUACUCCCAGGCCCCUUUUGGGGGCCUCUGAAGGGCCGUGCGAGACCAGCACGUUGAUAGGCGGCAGGUGGAAGCGUGGUGACACGUGCAGCCGAGCCGUACUAAUGGCCCGUGAGGCUUGACCAG